CUUUCCAGUUGCAAUCUGCACCGCUGUUCCACUUGUUCCGCCCUCCAAAUACUCCUUCCUACCUACGGGGGCUUCGUGGUGCAGUGGUUAGCACACUCGGCUCACAACUGAGAGCCCGGGUUCAAUUCCCGGGCGGAGUUGAAAAAAAUGGGGGGCUUUUCCGAUACCCUACGCCCCUGUCCACCCAGCAGUGAAUGGGUACCAGGCCUUCUCAGGGACAACCAGGAGAAGACGAAGAUGAAAUUACAAAACCCAGAAGGCUGAAAGAGGAAGUCAGUCAGUCUACAGUCAUUACAAAACCCUGAAGACAAGACUGGAGGAGGAAGUCAGUCUAGUGUCAUCCCAAGAGGAGGCGGCCUGAGGUGCCAGCCAUCCACAGUCCACUCUUAUUCUCCCGUCCACUGAAGAAGGCACCAAGUAAGAGUUGCAAGGCAGAAGUGUGAGCUACAGAAAAAAGUGGCAAGAUGCAGUGUGGAGGGCCAGUUUCUCAAGAUGAGCCGGAGCAAGGCUGCCUCAAGCUGCUGUCCAAUCAGCGAAGAGAUCACCUCGGCAGCCCGGCAGGCCACAAUGGCAAUGUUCAGACUACAACAGCGUUCAGGGAAAACAAAACUACACACAUUUCGCGGCAGCCAUGGAGUCAUUAUUGAAACUGAAUGAUUAGCAUUAGUUUUACUAUGGAGAUAUACAUAUAUUACCACUGUAGUGAAAGACAGAGUAUGGAAGGAAAAUCACCAAAAUUUGAAGAAGCUUAGUAAAAUAAAUGUUUGCAAUAUACAAAAAAUCUACAAAAGGUGAAAAUGACAUCCUGAAACUAAGGUGAAGAUAUGAAAGCAAAAUACCUUGCCUGAAAAGGUGUGUAAAAACCUGCCUGGGUACACAAGUGCCUGAAAAGGUGUGUAAAAACCUGCCUGGGUACACAAGUGCCUGAAAAGGUGUGUAAAAACCUGCCUGGGUACACAAGUGCCUGAAAAGGUGUGUAAAAACCUGCCUGGGUACACAAGUGCCUGAAAAGGUGUGUAAAAACCUGCCUGGGUACACAAGUGCCUGAAAAGGUGUGUAAAAACCUGCCUGGGUACACGAGUGCAGAGUAACAGCCACACCCUGCAACACUCAGGAUGCAAGUAACUGCUGCACCAAUAAAUGCUCCCGACAACACUACGUAACACUAUAGUAUAACCGUAAGCCUUAGGAAAUAUAAAGGCGU
This is a long non-coding RNA of Eriocheir sinensis (Chinese mitten crab), 1204 nucleotides long. RefSeq lists it as uncharacterized. NCBI's taxonomy places the organism in Eukaryota, Metazoa, Arthropoda, Malacostraca, Decapoda, Varunidae. The record is from RefSeq and is a predicted model, not a curated record. The transcript has 4 exons.